This 30-nucleotide non-coding RNA is filed under the name Mus musculus (house mouse). The record is from RNAcentral. Lineage: Eukaryota; Metazoa; Chordata; Mammalia; Rodentia; Muridae.
UACCUUAAACAGGAGCUAGAAGGUUCUUGU